Molecule: long non-coding RNA, 180 nt
Organism: Choloepus didactylus (southern two-toed sloth)
Lineage: Eukaryota; Metazoa; Chordata; Mammalia; Pilosa; Megalonychidae
Exons: 3
Source: RefSeq, a predicted model, not a curated record
GCAGAAGCUGCUUUUCUGAAGGAAUGAGAAGAUUGGUUGGAACACUGAUCUUUUCUUUCAUUAAAAGCCAACAUUUUGAGUGGCUUCUACUUUCGAUUUCCCCAGAUAUACCAUGAAAUGGAAACAAAUCAUAUGGAAUGUGUUGCUGAAACUGAAAAGUUUCUCAGCUCUCUAUUGCCC